AUUGAACGCUGGCGGCAGACCUAACACAUGCAAGUCGAGCGGAUGAAGGGAGCUUGCUCCUGGAUUCAGCGGCGGACGGGUGAGUAAUGCCUAGGAAUCUGCCUGGUAGUGGGGGAUAACGUCCGGAAACGGGCGCUAAUACCGCAUACGUCCUGAGGGAGAAAGUGGGGGAUCUUCGGACCUCACGCUAUCAGAUGAGCCUAGGUCGGAUUAGCUAGUUGGUGGGGUAAAGGCCUACCAAGGCGACGAUCCGUAACUGGUCUGAGAGGAUGAUCAGUCACACUGGAACUGAGACACGGUCCAGACUCCUACGGGAGGCAGCAGUGGGGAAUAUUGGACAAUGGGCGAAAGCCCGAUCCAGCCAUGCCGCGUGUGUGAAGAAGGUCUUCGGAUUGUAAAGCACUUUAAGUUGGGAGGAAGGGCAGUAAGUUAAUACCUUGCUGUUUUGACGUUACCAACAGAAUAAGCACCGGCUAACUUCGUG
Molecule: ribosomal RNA, 484 nt
Filed under: uncultured bacterium
Lineage: Bacteria
Description: partial 16S ribosomal RNA
Rfam family: Bacterial small subunit ribosomal RNA
Source: RNAcentral